UUUUAUUUGAGAGUUUGAUCCUGGCUCAGGAUGAACGCUGGCGGCGUGCCUAACACAUGCAAGUUGAGCGAUUUACUUCGGUAAAGAGCGGCGGACGGGUGAGUAACGCGUGGGUAACCUACCCUGUACACACGGAUAACAUACCGAAAGGUAUGCUAAUACGGGAUAAUAUAUUUGAGAGGCAUCUCUUAAAUAUCAAAGGUGAGCCAGUACAGGAUGGACCCGCGUCUGAUUAGUUAGUUGGUAAGGUAACGGCUUACCAAGGCGACGAUCAGUAGCCGACCUGAGAGGGUGAUCGGCCACAUUGGAACUGAGACACGGUCCAAACUCCUACGGGAGGCAGCAGUGGGGAAUAUUGCACAAUGGGCGAAAGCCUGAUGCAGCAACGCCGCGUGAGUGAUGAAGGCCUUCGGGUCGUAAAACUCUGUCCUCAAGGAAGAUAAUGACGGUACUUGAGGAGGAAGCCCCGGCUAACUACGUGCCAGCAGCCGCGGUAAUACGUAGGGGGCUAGCGUUAUCCGGAUUUACUGGGCGUAAAGGGUGCGUAGGCGGUCUUUCAAGUCAGGAGUGAAAGGCUACGGCUCAACCGUAGUAAGCUCUUGAAACUGGGAGACUUGAGUGCAGGAGAGGAGAGUGGAAUUCCUAGUGUAGCGGUGAAAUGCGUAGAUAUUAGGAGGAACACCAGUUGCGAAGGCGGCUCUCUGGACUGUAACUGACGCUGAGGCACGAAAGCGUGGGGAGCAAACAGGAUUAGAUACCCUGGUAGUCCACGCUGUAAACGAUGAGUACUAGGUGUCGGGGGUUACCCCC
RNAcentral lists this ribosomal RNA (810 nucleotides) under Clostridioides difficile. RNAcentral describes it as "bacterial SSU rRNA". It matches the Rfam family "Bacterial small subunit ribosomal RNA", at positions 1 to 841 of the family's 1533-position model. Lineage: Bacteria; Bacillati; Bacillota; Clostridia; Peptostreptococcales; Peptostreptococcaceae. The record is from RNAcentral.